GUAUUAAAUAGUUGCGUAAACCACAUCUUCUCCAACUUUAAUGUGGCUGGGAUUCAAGUGGGUAUCUUUCUAAAAUGCAGAUUCUGAUUCAAAAGGUCUGGGGUUGAGUCACAGAUUCUGUAUUUCUUACAACACUGGCAUCUUAUGUGAUGCCACUGUUGCUGGACCAAAGACCAUAUUGUAAGUAGCAAGCAUAUAAACAACCUUGUUUUGUAAAUAAGAAAACAGGAUUAAGACGGCAAAUAAUUUACCACGAUCACAGAGCUACGGUGAGUCAGGAUUUGAAUUCAGGUGUAUCUGACCAACCAAUAAAGAGCCUAUCAAGGUGCUGGAGGAUGCAGGGAUUAGAGCCAGCAGAGUAAGUUUGGAGGAGGAGGCUGACCUCCUUAAAUGUGAGAAUUUACUGGGAAAUGGUGGGAGACAACAUCGGUACCAGAAAUAGAAGUCAUCCACUGCUUAAUAUAGAAUUAGUGCUACAGAGAAGAAACAGAAGUCAAACCUUGUUUCUUGACCUGUGAAUAUCAAGACAUUCCAUUGACUGGGGAGCCAUGAUGCAGAGUUACUCCCUUCCAUCACAGAUGCGUCCACGACAUUGUCAUAAGAGAAGACUUCAAAUUUGGAAGGAAACAAAGAAAGGAAAAGAAAAGAAAGAAAAGGAGAAGAAUAUCUAGAAGAUCUGCUUGUGUAGACUUGCCCUUUGGUCCAACGUGUUACAAAUCAAUGCAAAGACUUCCAAGAUAUAGAAGAGGGAGGUGCAGAACAGACUCUUCGCUGACGUGCUUGGGACACUGUGGAAGUUUUAUAAGCAUGUCUGGCUGAAUUUAAUGCUGUAGUUUUUAACCGACAUCUAAUAUAUGUGGAGAUGCUAACCUGAUUCCAGGACUAUUGAUUUACUUGUUCUUUCGUGCCGUCAGGAAAUAUUUCAUGUAUACUUACCAUGAGUCAAUGUCAGGGCUGAGGUGGGGAGACUGAACUGAAAGGCCUCUUGAUAAAGUUCUUGUUUCCCUGGAGCUUACAGUCUAGAAGAGGAAAAAGCAUAAAGAAACAUGUAAUUACAAA
RNAcentral lists this long non-coding RNA (1059 nucleotides) under Equus caballus (horse). RNAcentral describes it as "lncRNA (ENSECAG00000045431.1)". The record is from RNAcentral. Lineage: Eukaryota; Metazoa; Chordata; Mammalia; Perissodactyla; Equidae.